Molecule: long non-coding RNA, 232 nt
Filed under: Capsicum annuum
Lineage: Eukaryota; Viridiplantae; Streptophyta; Magnoliopsida; Solanales; Solanaceae
Description: long non-coding RNA (CANN_LNC015713)
Source: RNAcentral
CAACAACAACAACAAACCCAGUGUAUUCCCACUUAGUGGGGUCUGGGGGGGGUAAGAUGUACGCAGUCCAUACCUCUACCUCUGAUGAAGUAGAAAGGCUGUUUUCGAAAGACCCCCGGCUCAAGGCACAAGAUAUCACACAAACACAUAGUAAAGCACAGAAGCAGAUGACAUAACAUAAAUACGGCACCCAUAAGGAAUAUAAAAUAGAGGAAAGCAGAGGAAAGCACAC